ACCACGUGGUGACCUUGAAGCGACAAAAGUCACUAAAAAAAUAAAAAUUUUUUUUUUUUUUUUUUUCGAACUUUGGUUUAUCAUUUACUCUAUUUAUAACCACCUGGGCGAGUGUAUCUACAGUUUUUUUUUUCAUUUCGUUUGCCUAUUAAUGAGAUGGUUAUCUUUAACGCGGCAGAUUUUCGCAUCCUCCAUACGGUUCGGAUGGAAACUGGCGCCAGAAUGGAAUUUUCUCUCACUGUCAAGGACGCAAGCCAUUUUUGUUUUAUCUACGUUACGGAAGAGGGCCCAAAUCUCUAUUUUAUUUCUAUUCAGCUUAACGUUUCGCAAUUUUGCCUGUUGUUUCGAUUCUAGACAAUUGCCAUUGUAACCGCAGCAGGGGGAAGACAAGUCUGGAAUUAUAUCUUCACGCGAUCUAAUUUGAAUAUUAUCUUUCGAAAGGAACACGUGUUUAUAGCUCCAUUUUCGUGAGAACGAAUAAAUUUAUUUAAUACGACCGAAAAAAAAAAAAAAAAAGUAAAGAUUCUAAUCACAGUCGAGUGUAAAUCAGUUAAGUGUAACCGAUGAUGCUUCUUUGUAGAACCACGGAUCUCCAGGAAGUAUUUUGUUGACCUUUCCACAUCGUAGCAUUCUCGGGUUCGUUGAGAGUUCAAUUCGUCUCAUUGCUAUGAAACUGUUUUUAAUUGUUAUCCAUAACAGCAUCCGAUAUAUACCGUACAUCAGUUACUUAAAAAAAAAAAAAAAAUCCGUAAGAAAUCGCAAUUUUUAAAAAUCCACUAUUUUCCUUACAAAACUGCUGACUUUUUUCAAUAAAAUGAAUCAUCGUUAAUCUUGUAACUGUUCACGUGACUAACAACUGGCGUUUAUCUGUGACUAGGUCAGCUAUUAUUCUACCUCCACCUGUUUGAAAUGAAGAGUUUUAAUUACUGUAUAUACUUACAGGUGCGAGUUUAACUUUUAAAUAAACAAAUAAAAAUAAAAGAUUAUUCUUGACUUUAUGUAUUUUCAUUACUAGAAUUGUUCUCGUAUUCGUAUCAGUUAGCCUACAUAAAACAUCGGUAAUCACAUUCAGAAAACAAACAUAAUUGUCCUGCGAUAGAGAAGAAAACACUUUUUAUCUACACUUCGAGGGCAUUGACACCUUAUGUUUAUUCGUUCGCAUUUAAAGUGUUUUGUAUAGUAGCGACUUAAUAAACCUCACGAAGUUGUCGCAGUUGCAUUUUUUUCAAAGAUGGAAGCAAAAUACGAGUGGAAAUUAUCCAGGCAAAGCUAAUUCUCACGCUCUUUGAUUUUUAAUAGACAGCUUCGUGCACAUUACUAAUGAACCACGAAGACGUAUCUUUCAUCGGUUUUUCUGUCAUGGAUAACUAAUCUUCCGGCAUAGAUGAAAUGUAAACUAUCUAAUCUUGAACUUCGGUUUCGUCACGUUCUACUCCCCCGUUUUAACUCGCUGGAAAUAAGUGUUUUAGAAGGUUUAAUUGACUACAGCUCAUUGGUUGGCUCUUAAUGCUCUACGAUUUCCUGCCGUUCUAAUUAAGACAUCUUUAUAAAUAGUUAAACUGACAAAUUAUCCAAUUUCCAAUCUUCCAAGAAUCCUUUGCUAGGAAAUAAGGUUAUCAACAUCUCUUUAGUAACACACAUCACACGUUAGGAUAAAAUUUUAACGCUACGUGAAGUUUACAAAAAGCAUAAAAUUUCGCAUACAAAACGGUAAUUAAAGGCACACUUCCCGAAUACUAAUAAUACUCGUAAAUUAUUAUCGUUUGGGAUUUAUGUUAUUUGCUUCCGACAUCUUCAAUAAAACAUCUUUAUCUAAGUACUAAUAAAUUAUCCAAAAUCAACAAAAACAUCUGGAAUGUCUCCAGAUUUUGUGUUUACAAUUUUAAUAUAUAUCUUCGCCAUUGGAUAUCUAUAACUGAAACCUUGGUACUUAUCUAGCGGUUUGUUUAUUCUGAAACAUGUUCAGAAAUACCUGACCUAUAUUAUCUCCUAUUUUUUUUAAUUUUUAAAACUUUUAAAGUAAUAAAACAAUUCGCCGACUUUAUGUCCAUUGGUCUGUGGAGACCUCAACGCGGGAGGACAAUUUGGUCCAAAGAACGACAAAAACUUGUCCUUUUAAUGAGACGGUUUCCUUUUAGCAACGAUCCUUAAUGGCCGAAAAUGUAAAUUUCACGAGAAGCAGACCCAAUUUUUAUUCUAAAUUCGGUAAAAAUAAACUUAGAAUGAAAAGAACUAUGUAGGUUUGUAUGUCAUCCUCUCUCGUAUUUCUUUAUUUGUCGUACCUUAC
This 2287-nucleotide long non-coding RNA is filed under the name Androctonus crassicauda. Lineage: Eukaryota; Metazoa; Arthropoda; Arachnida; Scorpiones; Buthidae. The record is from RNAcentral.